AACACCAAUUACGCUGAAAAUUAAUUUACUUCCAUUCUUCCAGUAUCCUUCUUCGUCCCUAAUAACAUUGAUUCCUAACUGUUCAAAAAUCACCCUCUCUUCAUCUAUUUCAUCUUCCUUUAUCCGAAACUGUUCAUCAUCUUCGCAUUCGUCUUCAGCAACCCUAUUUUGUUUUCUUUAUUUUCUUCUCCUUCAUUUUAACAGUUGCAAUAUUUCUCUGCAAACCAACAAAAACAGAGACCCAUGGCAACAUCGCACCAGACCCAUCAUCAUCACCAUCGAACAUCCUGUUUUACCCCUUCUCUGUAAACGGGUUAGGUUUUGCACUGUUUUCUUCGAUAGCUCAGGUGUUAUUCUGUCGUGUUGAUCCAUCUCCCUCACUUGUAACUGAAGAACACAAGAGGUUUUUGAUUAUGCCCACAUUCCGGGACGAGCAGUUCUUCAUCGUGGUCGCCAUCGGCAUGGUGCAAGAGUGACUAUUUCUGGGCACCGGGUCAACUUGGUUAUAUGGUGCAGAAGUUCAGUUUUUCGAGAGCUGAAGAAACAUCAAAACAAUUUUUCCAGCUGGUAUGGAGAUUGUCGACAUGAGAAAAAAGAAAGACAACAUCUGUCAGUUGCUGCUACCAAACUGGAAUUGCUGAAGAGGGAUGGUAUAUCUGCAUCCUGAGUCAUUAAUUUCUCUCAAGUUUUGCUUGUGAAGCUGUAAGAUAGCAAAAUUCUCACCCUUGCCAAGUGGCAAUUCUUUCUUUCUUCUUUCUUGUUGUUUCAGUCCUUUUGUGUUAAAAUUGUCCUAGGCUUUUGUUGGUUAUUAAUGAAGGGUGCAUCUUGUAUUCUCUCUUUCCAAGUUGGAUUGAAAUCUGUCUAAUGCAAUGUUGUCUUAUUUGCUUUCAAAA
Molecule: RNA transcript, 893 nt
Organism: Populus trichocarpa (black cottonwood)
Lineage: Eukaryota; Viridiplantae; Streptophyta; Magnoliopsida; Malpighiales; Salicaceae
Exons: 5
Source: RefSeq, a predicted model, not a curated record